Long non-coding RNA from Coffea arabica (coffee), 1195 nucleotides. RefSeq lists it as uncharacterized. NCBI's taxonomy places the organism in Eukaryota, Viridiplantae, Streptophyta, Magnoliopsida, Gentianales, Rubiaceae. The record is from RefSeq and is a predicted model, not a curated record.
CACAAAGUCGCUAAACCCAAUUCAGUGCUUCUCUCUUAGGGUUCGUUUUUUCCCUUCCCGUCCUCCCCUCUUGGCUCUUGCAGCUGCUAGUUUCUUUAGGCUAACUUUCUCUUCUAGUGAGGGGGGAAAAAAAAGAAGGAAGAAAAAGGAGCGGCUCAGUGUAAAUUCGUUAUUUUUUAGCCUUUUUUUUACCUGAACUUAUGGUGCAGAGGGUGAUAUUGGAGCUCAGUAACAAACGGGUAAGGUGGAAACGGAGCUAGAUCUGCAGGAAAUUGUGGGCAUCGCCUGGCUUGGAAAGGAAACUUUUUAUCUUUCUUUGUUUAUAUCUUUUGCUUUUGCGUUGGUUUUUUUUUAUUUUUAAUUUUCGAUCUUAAAUUUUUUAACCUUGAAGAUUGGAUGGAGAGAAUCCUUACCGAGGCCAGGCAUGCCCAUGGUUUCAUGUGGUUCCUCCAUUUCUUUUCCUUGUCCUUGAAUGGAUCUGACCUGUUCAGCUGAGGUCAUGGACUUUCUCUCUCUUUUUUUUUCUCCAUUUGUUCUAUUUUUGAGCCAAGGGUUUCAGAGGCUUUGGACUAAGAUCCUUUCCAAUUCCGGGCAUGCCAAUAAUAUCAUGUUGGUCCCUCCCUUUCCUUUUCCUUGCCUAGCUAUGGUUCUCUGUUCGUUGACUAUCUUGCAUGCGGAGUUUGCAAGUCAAAAUCAUUUGACAGGGCCCCGGCGUUCACCGGUUACAACUCGACAAGGAUCAGAGAUGUGGCAUAAGGUGCUCUACCUUGGAGCGACUUGAUUAUUUCUUCCAGAUUUAGGCCGUUGAGAUGCUACAGGAUCAGUAGAUUUGUUUGCCAGAUUAAUAAUCAAUUUUAGCGUUGCUGGUGUAAUAAUUUUGCGGUAAAGAAAAUUGAAAAUUGUUAAUUGUAUGUACCGUUAGUGUUGUCUUUUUCACUGGCUUAAUAUAUACGAGCGUGGAAAGCUAUAGAUCGAACAUGGAGUUCCCCACAGCUGAGGUUCCUCCAUUUUCUUGCUGCGAUUUUGAUUCAUUUUUCAUGCACUUAAGCCUGAUUGAUAAUCAUCACAAUUUUGGAUGCGUAAUUUGAUGGUUGCACUCUCAAUGCAACAUGAGGCAACUAUGAUGAUGAUUACCUCAGCCAGCAUUUUGUUGUAAAAAGGGACUUGAAUUGCCUAUUGCCUCUUAAGAGAUAGA